RNAcentral lists this long non-coding RNA (764 nucleotides) under Cricetulus griseus (Chinese hamster). Its description in RNAcentral is "lncRNA (ENSCGRG00015038811.1)". The record is from RNAcentral. Lineage: Eukaryota; Metazoa; Chordata; Mammalia; Rodentia; Cricetidae.
CACCAGUGUGUGCUUUUUAAACUAGGAGGAAUAGGAUGCUACUGAAGGAGUUACAUAAUUUUCCCAAGCGAUGCAACCUUGGACACCUCUAAACUCCUCGGUUUUCCCAUCUAUAAAAUAAAGGAAAACCCAAGAAUAGAAAUCCUGCCCUUCCUCUUCUCACCUGGGAGGUAGAGAUUGACCACGGCAGGAACUCUGAGAAAAGCAAGUGGUGUACAACACAAACUACACAUGUGAACUUCAAGAUAGCCAGUGGGUUCAGGGUUAUGGACUGUCCAGAUCAUGCCUCCCACCAGCAGUGGCUUUCGGUUUUCCUGAGCCUCCAUGAAGGAAACAGCCUGCUUCCUCCCAGAGCUCUAAAUCCAAAGAGAUUCUCCAGGUGCCUGGAUUCCAGAAAGAAGGAAAACACCAUUGUAUUUUUCCCGAGAAGUUUACAGGCUCUGGCUGCCGAACUCCAGGACUUCGAGAGCUACUUAUGGCUAUAAAGGGUACACCUCAACUACAUGUGCCCCUCUUCCUCAUAUCUCCUAUGUCCUUCCUGAAAUUCAGGGUCCCUUCCUGCUGCCACCCAGGAGUCAGAGACAACCUGGCUUCAGGCUUGUGCUGUGGACCUCUCACCAACUAUGUGGCAUAAAAUCUCUCCCUUCACUUGAGACCUAUAAAAAGGGAUCCCCCACUCUGUCUGACAGCAUGCUGCCUGCCUGUCUGUCCAUGGUAUUCAUAGUUCUUCUAAUAAACACAAUGAGACAAUCAGCCUUAGUGUC